UACGAAGGGUGCAAGCGUUAAUCGGAAUUACUGGGCGUAAAGCGUGCGUAGGCGGUUUGUUAAGUCUGUUGUGAAAUCCCCGGGCUCAACCUGGGAAUGGCAAUGGAUACUGGCAGGCUAGAGUGCGGUAGAGGGUAGUGGAAUUCCCGGUGUAGCGGUGAAAUGCGCAGAUAUCAGGAGGAACACCGGUGGCGAAGGCGGCUCUCUGGAACGCAACUGACGCUGAGACGCGAAAGCGUGGGGAGCAAACAGG
This 253-nucleotide ribosomal RNA is filed under the name uncultured bacterium. Its description in RNAcentral is "partial 16S ribosomal RNA". It matches the Rfam family "Bacterial small subunit ribosomal RNA", at positions 524 to 776 of the family's 1533-position model. The record is from RNAcentral.